Molecule: non-coding RNA, 45 nt
Organism: Echinostoma caproni
Lineage: Eukaryota; Metazoa; Platyhelminthes; Trematoda; Plagiorchiida; Echinostomatidae
Source: Rfam
GCACUGACGAUGAGUCCUAAAUAGGACAAAACAGCUGUCCAGUGC